CCUACGGGUGGCAGCAGUGGGGAAUAUUGCGCAAUGGGCGCAAGCCUGACCCAGCAACGCCGCGUGAAGGAAGAAGGCUUUCGGCUCGUAAACUUCUAUCCUGAGGGACGAAGGAAAUGACGGUACCUCAGGAAUAAGCCACGGCUAACUACGUGCCAGCAGCCGCGGUAAUACGUAGGGGGCGAGCGUUAUCCGGAAUUACUGGGUGUAAAGGGUGCGUAGACGGCGAGGUAAGCCUGAUGUGGAAGCCCGCGGCUGAACCGGGGAACUGCAUUGGGAACUGUUUAGCUAGAGUAUAGGAGAGGAAAGCGGAAUUCCUGGUGUAGCGGUGAAAUGCGUAGAUAUCAGGAGGAACACCGGUGGCGAAGGCGGCUUACUGGACCAUAACUGACGCUGAGGCUCGAAAGCGUGGGGAGCGAACAGGAUUAGAUACCCCGGUAGUC
Molecule: ribosomal RNA, 443 nt
Filed under: uncultured bacterium
Lineage: Bacteria
Description: partial 16S ribosomal RNA
Rfam family: Bacterial small subunit ribosomal RNA
Source: RNAcentral